This 883-nucleotide ribosomal RNA is filed under the name Mycolicibacterium confluentis. RNAcentral describes it as "bacterial SSU rRNA". It matches the Rfam family "Bacterial small subunit ribosomal RNA", at positions 76 to 970 of the family's 1533-position model. The record is from RNAcentral. Lineage: Bacteria; Bacillati; Actinomycetota; Actinomycetes; Mycobacteriales; Mycobacteriaceae.
CCCUUCGGGGGUACUCGAGUGGCGAACGGGUGAGUAACACGUGGGUGAUCUGCCCUGCACUUUGGGAUAAGCCUGGGAAACUGGGUCUAAUACCGAAUACACCCUUCUGAUCGCAUGGUCUGGGAGGGGAAAGCUUUUGCGGUGUGGGAUGGGCCCGCGGCCUAUCAGCUUGUUGGUGGGGUGAUGGCCUACCAAGGCAACGACGGGUAGCCGGCCUGAGAGGGUGACCGGCCACACUGGGACUGAGAUACCGCCCACACUCCUACGGGAGGCAGCAGUGGGGAAUAUUGCACAAUGGGCGCAAGCCUGAUGCACCGACCCCGCGUGGGGGAUGACGGCCUUCGGGUUGUAAACCUCUUUCAGCAUCAACGAAGCGCAAGUGACCGUAGAUGCAAAAGAACCACCGGCCAACUACGUGCCACCAGCCGCGGUAAUACGUAGGGAGCGAGCGUUGUCCGGAAUUACUGGGCGUAAAGAGCUCGUAGGUGGUUUGUCACGUUGUUCGUGAAAACUCACAGCUUAACUGUGGGCGUGCGGGCGAUACGGGCAGACUAGAGUACUGCAGGGGAGACUGGAAUUCCUGGUGUAGCGGUGGAAUGCGCAGAUAUCAGGAGGAACACCGGUGGCGAAGGCGGGUCUCUGGGCAGUAACUGACGCUGAGGAGCGAAAGCGUGGGGAGCGAACAGGAUUAGAUACCCUGGUAGUCCACGCCGUAAACGGUGGGUACUAGGUGUGGGUUUCCUUCCUUGGGAUCCGUGCCGUAGCUAACGCAUUAAGUACCCCGCCUGGGGAGUACGGCCGCAAGGCUAAAACUCAAAGGAAUUGACGGGGGCCCGCACAAGCGGCGGAGCAUGUGGAUUAAUUCGAUGCAACGCGAAGAACC